GACAGACAGACAGACAGACAUCCGAAAGAAAGAGCGAAAGAGCCGAUUAAAAAGGUUGGUAGAAAGAGGCAGUGCAGAUAGUCUGACGUUCAACUGGUGUUUUUCAGCACUGUUGGCAGGAAAGGGUGAGAUCCUUGAGCGGAAAACGCCAAGUUAGUGUUGUUGAUGUCGGAACCGGCAGCAAACUACAUUCUGGGCCAAACAGAUAGCUCAGUCUGUUCUGAUUCCAUCAUCUACACUGUUGUCACACAGGUAACGUGUCCU
Molecule: long non-coding RNA, 264 nt
Organism: Callorhinchus milii (elephant shark)
Lineage: Eukaryota; Metazoa; Chordata; Chondrichthyes; Chimaeriformes; Callorhinchidae
Exons: 3
Source: RefSeq, a predicted model, not a curated record